RNAcentral lists this long non-coding RNA (1310 nucleotides) under Homo sapiens (human). Its description in RNAcentral is "non-protein coding lnc-S100A13-2:8". The record is from RNAcentral. Lineage: Eukaryota; Metazoa; Chordata; Mammalia; Primates; Hominidae.
CUCACUACCGAAACUCACCGAAGGAAACAGACGCCAGUGCUCCUCCCGGGGCUGCCACCACGGCUCCGGCAGGCGGGCCGGGGACCGGCCGAACCUGAGUUGACGGUGGAGGGGCUCGGGUUAGCUAGAUGGGCGGUUGGUUAGAUGCGUAAGCGGUAGUAUGCGAGCUCAGUUCGUUGUUGCUGGUUGGCUGUCUAGUCGGCCGAUCCGUCUGCUCACCCGGCCUGCCCUUUCCUGCCUUUCGUCUGCAGCGGCCGCCAGCUCCUGCUCGGUGUCCAAAACAAAAUGGCCGCCACGUCCAGUGCUUGUCUGACCGGCUAAAAUGGCGUCUACGCAAUUACGUCAGGCGUCAGAUCCGCGCACGACUAGAGGGCGGGAAAGAUUUGAGCUACGCCUGCGCAGAGUUGAGAAGCUGAUGUCUCCUCGACUUCCAACUGGAACCUUGAACCCCCACAUUUCUGGACCUUGAGCAUUCCUCAAGUAGGAAGAUAUCCCAGAGGAGACAGACAUCGGAUGGCUGAUAAUCUUCCAAUGGAAAUCCAUGGUUCAAGUGCCACCUCUUCAGGAAAGCCAUCUGACUUCAAUCAGGCAGCAGUGGAUGGUGCAGGGGAAAGAGGUGGGAAGGAGGUCCUGGGAGGGACACUGGAUGUCUUACCCCAAGCUGGGCCUUGCAGUACCUGUGGCUGGCUGUGCUGGUUGAGCCCGAAUCGACCACGGAAAUUUGACACCUCCGGGCUUGGAAGCAGCUCUCUCCUCCUUCCCCGCUGCUUAUAAACCUCAGCCCUGAGGCUCCAGCUCACUCUACCCCAUCUCCUUGCCGGGUCAGCCCUGACAAAGGUCAGCUAGCCCCUUGAGGACAUCAGCUUUGGCCUCAGGGUCCUAAUGGCAGCAGAACCACUGACAGAGCUAGAGGAGUCCAUUGAGACCGUGGUCACCACCUUCUUCACCUUUGCAAGGCAGGAGGGCCGGAAGGAUAGCCUCAGCGUCAACGAGUUCAAAGAGCUGGUUACCCAGCAGUUGCCCCAUCUGCUCAAGGGUGUGGGUGGCUGCAUGUGUCAAUGGUUGCAGGUUUUCUUUUGUUUUUUCGAGACAAAGUCUCACUCUGUUGCCCAGGCCGGAGUGCAGUGGUGUGAUCUUGGCUCACUGCAACCUCCAUCUCCGGGGUUCAAGUGAUUCUCCUGCCUCAGCCUCCUGAGUAGCUGGGAUUACAGGUGUGUGCCACCACGCCGAGCCUAUUUCUGUAUUUUUAGUAGAGACAGGGUUUCACCAGGUUGGCCAGGCUGGUCUCGAACUCCUGACCUCAGGUGAUC